CUUCUCUAAUGUGGCAGAAGA
This 21-nucleotide small nuclear RNA is filed under the name Arabidopsis thaliana (thale cress). RNAcentral's name for it is "snRNA_11630". Lineage: Eukaryota; Viridiplantae; Streptophyta; Magnoliopsida; Brassicales; Brassicaceae. The record is from RNAcentral.